AGUGAACGCUGGCGGUAGGCCUAACACAUGCAAGUCGAACGGCAGCACAGUAAGAGCUUGCUCUUACGGGUGGCGAGUGGCGGACGGGUGAGGAAUACAUCGGAAUCUACUUUUUCGUGGGGGAUAACGUAGGGAAACUUACGCUAAUACCGCAUACGACCUACGGGUGAAAGCAGGGGAUCUUCGGACCUUGCGCGAUUGAAUGAGCCGAUGUCGGAUUAGCUAGUUGGCGGGGUAAAGGCCCACCAAGGCGACGAUCCGUAGCUGGUCUGAGAGGAUGAUCAGCCACACUGGAACUGAGACACGGUCCAGACUCCUACGGGAGGCAGCAGUGGGGAAUAUUGGACAAUGGGCGCAAGCCUGAUCCAGCCAUACCGCGUGGGUGAAGAAGGCCUUCGGGUUGUAAAGCACUUUUGUUGGGAAAGAAAAGCAGCAGGUUAAUACCCCGCUGUUCUGACGGUACCCAAAGAAUAAGCACCGGCUAACUUCG
Molecule: ribosomal RNA, 490 nt
Filed under: uncultured bacterium
Lineage: Bacteria
Description: partial 16S ribosomal RNA
Rfam family: Bacterial small subunit ribosomal RNA
Source: RNAcentral